GAUGAGCGCUGGCGGCGUGCCUAAUACAUGCAAGUCGAGCGGUAAGGUCCCUUCGGGGAUACACGAGCGGCGGACGGCUGAGUAACACGUAGGAACGUACCCCAAAGUGAGGGAUAACUGCUCGAAAGAGUAGCUAAUACCGCAUGUGAUCCACGGAUUAAAGCUUUAUGCGCUUUGGGAACGGCCUGCGUCCGAUUAGCUUGUUGGUGAGGUAAUAGCUCACCAAGGCGAUGAUCGGUAGCUGGUCUGAGAGGAUGAUCAGCCAGACUGGGACUGAGACACGGCCCAGACUCCUACGGGAGGCAGCAGUAGGGAAUUUUCCACAAUGGGCGAAAGCCUGAUGGAGCAACGCCGCGUGCGGGAUGAAUGCCUUCGGGUUGUAAACUGCUUUUAAUAGUGACGAUUAUGACGGUAACUAUUGAAUAAGGACCUGCUAACUACGUGCCAGCAGCCGCGGUAA
RNAcentral lists this ribosomal RNA (460 nucleotides) under uncultured bacterium. Its description in RNAcentral is "partial 16S ribosomal RNA". It matches the Rfam family "Bacterial small subunit ribosomal RNA", at positions 28 to 523 of the family's 1533-position model. The record is from RNAcentral.